RNAcentral lists this unclassified non-coding RNA (406 nucleotides) under Bombus terrestris (buff-tailed bumblebee). RNAcentral's name for it is "misc RNA ENSBTSG00005023778.1". Lineage: Eukaryota; Metazoa; Arthropoda; Insecta; Hymenoptera; Apidae. The record is from RNAcentral.
AACGCCUUAUUACGUGUUUGCUUGGUAUUCAAAUUUGUUGCCAAACACCAGCUAACGUCGAGUUCAUAUCUCGUCGAAAAUGCCAUCUUUGUAAGAGCUAAUUAUAGUAAUAUGGAGUUAUAAUUAAUUGUUAAAACUGUUUCGUAUAUCGUAUUACGGUUGUUAAUUGUUAAAUGCGGAUUAACGUUGAAACAACGUUGCGUGUUCUGCACGCUGCUUACACGAGCAGCUCACGGAACCUUCGCAACUGGCUCUUAAUCAACCAAGUUUGUUCUGCAAUUGAAAGUUGCUUUCAAUUUCUACUCGCCAAACGUAAUUCGAGCGAAGAUGUGAAAUUCGAACCGUAACGCGAAGCUAACAACGACGGAAACACGAAAUCGAGGAGAAAAAUAGCGGAUAAACGCAC